GGUCAUGUCGUGCCGGCCCGCGUGCCCAGCCUCCAGGCUCAGGCACGGCCCGAUGCGUGCUUCGUGUCGGACCCGAGCACGAUUAGCCCGUGCCGGGCUGGGCCCGUGUCGUGCCAGACACGCGGGCUAUCGGGCCGGCCCAGUUACAUGGCCCGUUUGGCCAGAUCUGUUCGGCGGUGACGCAUAGGUGCUAGCCCUCGGCCGCCCCACUGUAGCGAGGUGGGGGACGACCGGGGGGUUUGCUCGGCUAGGCCUGUCCUUUUGGCCUAAGGCCCAGGGGCAAGGGGUUUUUCUUUUGUUUUCCCUUUUUUAUUUCUUCUGCUUUUCUUUUAUUAUGGGCACUGACCGUUAGCGUGGCGAGCUCCUGCAGCCCCUCCAGGUUCCGGACGAUAGAGGGCAAUAACGCUGAUUCCGCCCGUGGUCCAGCAGCGGUAGCGCUUCUCUUCGACGCCAUAGCUAUGGGGAGGCGACAAAAGUGGCGAAGAAGAAGGCGGGGGAGGAGAAUGGCGAGUGGCGGGCGUGCGAGAGAGGAAGAGCAAUGUGUAAGGGAAGCGUCUGGCAGGGGAUGAGCAAUGACGGUUUCACCCUGGCGCGCGAUGGUUUAUAGGCGGAUGCGCAGUUCCCGGGGCGUCGUGGGAGAAGUGGGUGCGUCCCGUCCCAUCGCCAUUGACACGCAUCGCCUCUUGACUGGGCAGUUCGUCACGACCCGUGACGUUUCGACCCGCACCGUUUCGUGCUUCACUCGUGAAACAUGCGCAUCGCAUGCACACGGGUUGUUGUCGACCCAAUGGGAAUAUGGGUACCACGACCCGUCUGCCUUUGGCCCAGGAGGCGACACUAGGGCCAUCCCGCGGAAGAUGGCUUGACUCGGGUCGCCCCAAAGGAAGUCUCCUCGCGAGGGGUAGGCCACGCGAGGCCCCUCACUGCCCGCUCAGGCCCUGCCGACGCCGCCAGGUACCAAGUCUCCUCGUGAGGUGGCUCCCGCGAGGUCUCUUCGUGAAGAGGGGUGUAUGAAGCCAACCACGGGGCUUCGUGCCCCUCACGUGGAUGACGUCCCGCUGUCAGGCGAGGACACCGGGCGUGACCAAGCCUGUUCCCGUUCUGGUGCUAUGGGAGCGGCGACGUCUGCCCUCCCAAAAGCAGGUUCCCAAAUGUUUCUAUUUCGAUGAAAGAAGACCCCGCUAACAUGACUCGCCAGGAUGGAGGUCAGGCCCGAGCCCACAGGGGCGUCAUGGAUGGUAGCUUUGUCGUCGAAGAGCACAUUAGCAAGCGAAGGUCGCCUUUUGCCAUGAUUAGUUUGAGCUCCUUCCCCCUUCGAAUGGCUUCCCUGUGGCCACCCUUUCCCACUUAUGUUUUCAGAAAAGAGGACCAAGUUCUUGGGCAUAGGUCCCGAACUCCGACAAUACCGCUCCUCUGCUCCUUCCUCCGCCUUGCAUCCGCGGGACCUGUAUUGCAAC
Molecule: long non-coding RNA, 1457 nt
Filed under: Hordeum vulgare
Lineage: Eukaryota; Viridiplantae; Streptophyta; Magnoliopsida; Poales; Poaceae
Description: long non-coding RNA (HVUL_LNC008704)
Source: RNAcentral